AAAAAUCCUCUCUAAAAACAGAAAUAAAUCACUGGGAGACACCAAGCCACUUGGUGAAAUUCUCGAACUCGGUGUAAUCGCUGUCAGAAAUCAUGGUCUUGUACCAAGCCUUUCCUGCAGCCUUAGCAGCAGCUAGCUCCUCCUAUUGGUUUCAUAAGAAAAGAAAGAUUGUUAAUAAAGAAGUAGACAAGUGCAAGACACGCCAACAAAACAAAGAACUAUUUGCUGUCUGAGGCAAAACCUAUAGUGUACAAGAGAUUAGAAUUGGUAUAGCGUAAUAAUUGAUGAACAUAGCUAUGCUCUGAAAGCUUAGCGGUGUACAAAACUCCACCAAAUUGUUCUGAUAGUAGUCUAUACCACAUUAUUCUGACAUUCUUAAUACACAAAAAAAAAUCACAUUUAACAGCUUCCAUCCACAACACCAAAGCAUACAAAAGCAACCACCUAAUCAUUUCACAAUCACAACAUAUAGCUAUUAACAAUAUAUCACUAUCAAGCAGGAAAAAACAGAUAGAUAGCCAACAUACCUUCGACACAGGUUUCCUCUUCCUGUCGAGCUUCUCCUUCUUGGACUUCACGCGCUCUGCUUCAGCCAGAAGGGCCAUCCUCCUAGCAGUCUUAGCAUAUGGAUUCAAUUUCAGCAUCACGUUCAAGUUCUUCAGUGGGUUCUUCUUCAAAGGUGCCCUCUUAACCUCCUUCUUGAUUGGAUUCACAACGCUCUGAACCUCGUCAGAGUUGAUGAUCCUGGCCAAAUCAGCAUUGACCAUCUUGGUCCUAGGCAGAACAUAACCCUUCUUCUUCUCGGAAGACUUGUCAAAAGUCCCAUAUAUUGAAUCAAGCUUCUCGAUAGCUGAUUUUGUCCAGAUCACAAACCUUCCAAGAUGACCGCCGGGAGCCAGCCUCAACAAGUUCAGCCUCUCAACGUUAGCCACCUCCACUCCUGGAAUGUUACGGAAGGCCUUCACCAACUUAGCACCUUCAGUUCCAUACACGAUCAGGGGUCCCUUGCGGGAAAUGUACCUCCUGUUCCUCAUUUUUCCCUUUCCAGCCCGGAUCGCUUGAGAAUCCUUGGCCUUCUCGGCAUCUGGAUAAGCACCAAUUUCCUUCAGCACCUUAAUAGCAGUGGAUGUUUUUUCAAUGCUCUCGGCCGAAUCAGAGAUAACCAAAGGCAUCUCAGGGACUGACUCCACCCGGUGACCGCGUGCCAUCACCAAAGAAGGAAUAGCAGAGGCAGCAAUAGCUGAAACGACGGCGUAUCGCUUUUGGUUGACGUUAAUCUUCCUAUGCCAGCGGCGCCAGGUCUUGGUAGGAGCAAACAUCCGUCCACCACGGCACAUGUUUCCAAAAGCUCCCUGACCAGCACGGUGAGUUCCACCACCAGAAACACGGGGGAUACGAGAAACGGCACGACCGGUACCCCAAGAUUCGGCUGAGGUCUGGUGGCCGGCCUUCUUCGAGACGGCGUAAGGUUGACGGCUGUUCUUGGAGAUGUUGGAGUGGACAUAAUUGACGAUGUCUGGUCUGAUUGAGGCCUUCAUGACAUCGGGGAGAGCCACGGUCGUGACAGAAUCAGUGGCCAUUUCAUUGAGGGACGCGGGUAGAGGUUGAACGGAGACAAGGGGGCGGGCGGCGGCGGCCAUUUGACGGUGUGGGGGUGUGUGUGUUUGUGAGAGAGAGGCGCGGGGGCGAUAGUGGGUGCUCUAGGGUUUUGAAAUGAGAGGGGGAUUGAGUGAAAUAUAUAUAUAUAUAUAUAUAUAUAUAUAUAUAUAUAUAUAUAUAUAUAUAUAUGGGCUCUUUUAGGGUUCAUCAGAGCUUAUUCUGUGUGUUUUGUUUCUCGAAUAAGGGUAUUCUAGCACGCUGAUAAGGCUUGUUUGGGUUUUUUCGUUUUUUUUUUAAAAAAGGAAAAUCUGAAUUAUUAUCAAGCAUCAUGUGCAAGUUGAUUAAAAACAAAUCCCGAAGAACAACUCCAAAAAAACAUAAUUCAUAAAAUUAAAAAACUUUGGACUGUUUUUCUAUAUAAAAAUUAUGAACAAUGUUGCCAGUUUAGGCAGAAGACCUACAACACUUAAUGUAAAUCAGUUUUUUUUUUAGUAUGGUUAAAGGACAAUACUUGAUUGAUUUUUUUAAUUAUUUUUUUAUUUUUCAAUAAAUUUUUAAAUCAUUUCUCGUUACUAAUGGACAAAAAUAUGAAAAAGAAAUUUUAGUAUCAAAAUAUAAAAUUCUAAAACUUCAGGGACCAAACUAAAGUUUUCCUUUUCUUUUCAAUACCACGCUUUGUUUUUUUUUUUUUCCUUAUUAAUAAAAUUUAGAUGAAUGAAAUUGUAAAAAAAAGUUCUUUAAUAGUAAGAAAUUUUUUUUUUGCAGAGAUAAACAGAACAAACUAUAAUGUUCUGAGUAUUAUAGAUUCUAGAUAAAAUAAAUAUUUAAUUUUAAUUUUAAAUGACACUUGUAGAAAGAAAGAUUUGAUUGGCUAGGGAUUGUAAAGGUAGUAAAACUAUGAGCAAUGUUUUCUCUAGUUAAUCAAUUAGGUUCUGCAAGUUAAAUAUGUAAAUCCAUUAUAUUAAAUUUAAAUUAGCUUAUAAAAUGUUGGGUACUAAUCAAUGUGAUUUCACAUGUUUUUUUUUUCUUACUGGAAGUUUGAACAAGAACUUAAUUUUUUAUCGGAGAAAAAAAUAUUCAUCACUCAUUAAUGUUGUAAAUCUAACAUGAAUGUGGGAUCGAAGGUGAUAAGAUCUUGACGAAUAAUAACAAUUCAGGAUGAGAAAAAAUAGAUAAAUGAUGGUAAUAAUAAUAAAUGUGACGUAUAAUGGAGAGGGUGAUCUAUAAAAAUAAAUCUAAGGGCAUUAUUGAAGUUAGAAUGAGGAACUAUUAAGUUUAGUUUAAAAUUCAUAACGUUAGUAAAUUAAUAACGGGUUUUGAUGGAUAGAAGAAUUAGAAAAAAUCUAGAUGAAUGUGUUUUGAUGAUGGGAAUGAAAAAUAAAAGUUAAGAAAAAACUGCACAAAAAGUUAUUGGUUCAGACCUCAAUUAAAAAUUAAUAAUGUUUGUUGUGACGUGCACGAUGUCAAAUAACGGGUAAGGCUCCUCGAUUAAGAGAGGUUUGGAAAUGUAUGGGAAAUAAUCAUAAAAAUAUGAUUAAUAGGGUUUAGGAGUUACCAUCUAAUAUGAUUAAUAGGGUUUAGGAGUUACCAUCUAAUAUUAUGGUCAUUAAAAAACCUUAAUGAUCUACGACUAGUUGUGCAUGGAAAAUACGUACAUAUUCUUUUAUUAUUUUCCAUCAUUGUUUAGGAUGUUUUUAUCUAGUAUAAAUGUAGUUAUUUAGCUUGUAUUUAGAUUUUUUUUAUAGGCUUGGUUUAUUUCUCAAUAAUAUUGUCUUUACAAGGUUGCUCAUCUUUUAGUUCUUUAUUGAAAUUUUCUUUGAUUUAUCAAAGAUCAAUUGUUUCUGUGACAUUCUUUUUAUACUUUUAGUUUGUAAUUCAUUAUAAUCACAAGGUUGAUGUUUCUUUCAUCUAAUAAUUUUGAUGUUUUGAUUCAUGUAAUCAUUGUAUUAAGAUCUUUAUUGUAAUUUGAUUUUAACUUUUCUGGAUUUUUUUUUGCUUGCAUGUUGAUUCACCGGUUCUUCCCUCUGCAUCAAGCUCAGCAUAAUAGGUUAACAUAUAAUAAUCAACAAAAUAACUGCUAAUAUUAUAAAAAAAUAGUAUAAUCUUAUCUAAAAUAAAUUACAUGAAUGUUAUUCUAUGGAAUAAAAUCCUAAUUAUAAUUUUAAUAAUCUAAUCAUAAUGAAUCUUGACUAAAAUUUAAGGGGAAAAAAAAAGGAAUGAUCAUGAAGGUUUGUAAAAAAACGCUUGCCAAUAUAUUAAAAAAAUUAUUACAACCUUAUUUGAAAAGAAAAGCUAAAACUGGAUGUCAUCUAAUAAAAUAAAAUCCUAAAUAUAAUGUAAAUCAUUUUAUUAUAAUUAAUUUUAAUCAAAAUUGAAGAAAAAAACAGAGGGUUGCUUAAAAAAGCCCACCUGUCUAGGAUUUGGUGGGCUAGUGCAACCAGGGAUGCAGAAAGAAGGCAAGGUGUACACAAGACAAGACUGCAAAUGACUUUCUCACGCUUAGUCUUAAUUUAUUUAGGGAGAGUUUGGCAACGCGGUUAAGGAUGUGUUUCUAAAAAUUUUAAAAAUUUUUUUAUUAAAAUUUAAUAUAAUUUAUAUAUUUUGAAUUAUUUUGAUGUGCUGAUGUCAAAAAUAAUUUUUAAAAGAUGAAAAAAUAUCAUUGAUAUAUAUUUUAACACGAAAAAUUAUUUGAAAAGCACUCACAACUAUACUACUACGCAAAACACGCUUUUACUUGUUUGAGAUGGCAAACGUCAAGUCAUUAGCCCUAUUUUAUAUAUAUCAAUCGAAGGAAAAAAAAAAAAGGAAGGAAACACUAAUCGCAGUGAUUUCCCUUGUAAUGCACAGUACACUUCACAUAGAAAUCUCCACAGGAAUUAGUUUUUUUUCUUAACGAUAUAUGAAUAAUGUGUUGCAAAGAUGGAAACUAUGGCGAUGGUUGAAGACUGCCCUUACACAGGCGUGAUAAAGGGGGAGAGACUGAUAAUUAUUGAAAGCUCCGAUCAACUGAGAUAGCUACUACUAGCUGGCUUUCCCGCGAUUUGUUGCGGCGGAUUCAGAGCUCGUUUAAGAUUAGUUCAGCGAAUGUUUUUCAAUUUUUUUUUCUGAAUGAAAAUGCCUCUCAAGAUCUGCCUACGCCAAUGCUUCACAACUCUAAUGUUUUCUCUUUUGUGCUUCAAUCUAAUAAAAGACCAAAAAAACAAAGAGAAUAGAAUCAAAAGAUUAUAAACGAUUCAAAAGACUCGUAAAGCAUAAUCAGUAGAAAAGUAAAGAAUGAGCCAUGAAAUCAUUAGAGUUUGACAAAUUCUUACUGUCUUGAAGUCCAAGAAGUGAACAUUUCAGUCACAGACAACAAACCAUUACCAAAACCUUCAGGUUUUUCAAGAAACAAUGGAGGCAGACUUGGUUCCUAGUAACUUCAAUCCUUUCACUCAUCAACUGCUUUAUACCUGCUUAAAUCAAUCGACAAACCAUUAACAAGAACUCACAGAAAGACUGCAAAAGAUUCUAUCUUUUGUAAGAAUAAGACAUGAGCAUCUAUCAAACGCAAGCAAAAAAACUAAGAAGCAAACGUACGGGAAAAGAAAAUUCUAAAUGGGAUUCUAAUCAUGAAAGAAAAGAGCCUGGAUGCAUGCACUUUGUUUGAAGCUCCUCUGCCAAGGCUCUCAUUAUACUGCAAUCAACAAAAAAUUAGCGAGUGAUAUGCAUUUCAGAUAUCUGCAUGUCAAAAGAAACAGCAUUAGAAUCCAGCUUAGAAUUUUCUUACAGAGGUGAAAAUCCAACUUAGACUUGUAAACACCUAAACUUUAAUCCAGUUCUAAAACUUUUCUGUAGAGAAACUUACAGAGGUGAAACACCAGUAUCAAUCCUCCCAUAUACUAGAGUUGGGCAGCACAUAGGGAGACCUAAACUUUAAUAAAAAUAAGAAUUGUAAGCCCAACAAUUUUCAAGCAAUAUGGAUGGCGCCAAAAAAGAAAAAAAAGAAAAAGAAAACUGGGGCAGACCUGUGAAAAGAGAAAAAAAUAACAAUUGUAAGCCCAACAAUUUUCAAGCAAUAUGGAUGGCGCCAAAAAAGAAAAAAAAGAUUACUCCUGGUUGUAGCCUGUAUAGGCCUAGGAGAAAAUGAGAGCAUCUUUUUUGAUCCACUUUGAUUACUUUUUUAUAUGAACUGGAAUGUUUUUAUGAAAUCCUUGUCUGUAAGGACUUCUGUCCAUUUAACAAAUGAAGCCCAGAAUGUUUGUCAAUCUUGAUAGAUGUUAAAGAGAGGGCUUUAUUUACUCUAGCGGAUUGUACAUAAUACUGAUUAAGCCAAAUUUGCGCACUUAAUUAAGACUUAAUACCAUCGUACUUGAAACAUAUGAAAGCAUCAUGUCCAUUAUCAGUAAGAUUUGGCCAGUUGUAGUUUGCAGACUCCUUAGCUGUAUUUUCAGAAACUGGUUUACGUUUUUUGGAGGCAUUGCUUGCUUUUCCAUUGCCGAUGGCACUUUCCUCAUCAUCAUUGUCUCCAUAGACAGGAAGCUUGAACUUUUCAGCUUCAACAACUCCUAGCCUGUGGACCAUAAAUGUGAACAUUUGUCAAGUAGACAAAAAAGAUUGUCAAGAUCCACAUGAAGGGCGGAUAAUGAAAGAAUGGUGGAUGCAGCAAAACAUAUGAAGUUAAAAUUUGACCUUACCUAGCCAUGGCCUCUUCAUCAGGAAGGGUUUCUUCAUUGAUUUCUGGCAUGUCAUCUUCAUCCAGACCUAGAGGUCAACAAUUUACAAUCAUGAGGUCGUCAUAGUAGAGGAUCGUGAACAACAGUGAUAAAACCAAGGGAAACAAAACCCAUUCAAAUCAGCAGACAGAACCAAGGAAAAAAACAGAAAGAGCAUCCUGGAAAAAAUGCUAGCAAUUGUAAAAGGAAAACAGAAAUCCCUUUCUCCAGACAGGCAGUGCAACAAUCGAUGUGAAUAAUUAAUUAUUGAAGAUUUCAAAAUUGAACAUGGCUAAAAACAGACAAAUAUUCUUUUCGUCUUCAUCUUGAUAGCAUGAAUUUCAGGAAGGGCAAUGAAUCAGUUAGGUAAGCAAGAAGGAAUCUCACUGUCUCAGCAACGAUAUUCUUACCUACAACCCUUUUCAUUUGCUCGAUCACCAAUAUAAUUACUUUCCAAUUUCUCUGUUUCCAUUAACUAUAUAUCAAAUUGAUUAAACUACAAUCAUAUUUGUUAUUUGCCUUACUUACUCUGUAACAAUUUCUAUAGUCAAUCGAUCAAAAAACACACAUAAACAUGCUUAAAUGUAAACAAAUAAAAAAAGAAACAAAAUAAUGUGCACAGGGUCGACCAAUCGUCAUCUCUUUCCCUUUCUAACUUUCCACCUUCACCUAUGUAUAAAACCCUAUCAACUCUCUUUCACUCUGUUUAUUAUUAUGUGCAGAGAGGCAUAAUUGAUGGGCCUUGUUUUUUAGUUCUCACAUCCAUGUUUGUGGAUUGGGAGAGAGCAUGUGGACAUAAAAAGAAAAAAAAUAAUAGAAGGGAUGCACGCCUGGAUCUUUACGGAGACAAAAUUUUCCGUAGCGGCGGUGGUGGCAAAAAAACAACUGAAAUUACUGGGGAGGAGCUUCACUGUCCAUAACCAGGUACUGAGCAGUGAACCUCCUGGGAAAAGACCCAGUUUUUUAAGAGUUGUAGGGUAAUAUCCAGGUUUUUAUUGAAGACUAACAUCCUUCCAGAAGGAGAACCCUUCGCUGCCUCUCUUAGGGAGUUCUCAAUGCUGCGUAAUCUAGUGAACUGUGAGAAGGGUAUACUGUUUCUCGCACCACAUCUCAGGGGUUUCUUCUUGUCUGAAGGCAUUCUCUUAGCAGAAAAAACCUCAUUUCCAACUUCCAAGUGUAUUCGUCGCUCAAUUCGUUUACUAUUCUUUCCCGGAGAAGUUUUCAGCUUGCAUUGCUCCCGGCCCCCUACGAAGCUGCAUGCUCUUCCCUCGAGCUAGUCCCCUUUACCUUCCGUUGCUUUAUGCCAAAAACCUUCACUCCCUGCUCGAAACAAGGACCUCCUGGCCUCCCUCUGUGCCCGCUCUCAAGUAGAGCCAUCUUUUCUGUAGAAGGUCUUCUAGAGUGUUUGCCAGGCACUUUAGAAGCUAAAUCAUAAUAACAUGACAUUGAGCUCUCUGCAAAUUCACCGAGCAAGAAUAGAAAGCAUACAGUUCAUUAAAGCAAGCAAUUCGAAUAAAACACACAAGAGAGGUAAUGAAUUGUUCCAUUUCAUUUCUGAUUGAAAUAGAAAUUCUUUGACCUAGCAAAAUAGAAGAAUGGGAUUGGAAGAAAGGCUACAAAUACCUAACAUCCCCUCCUACAUGUACAACAGCAAAACAAAAGUUGACAACAUAAUCAAGUAAAUAAGCAAAACUCCUCUCUAAAAACAGAAAUAAAUCACUGGGAGACACCAAGCCACUUGGUGAAAUUCUCGAACUCGGUGUAAUCGCUGUCAGAAAUCAUGGUCUUGUACCAAGCCUUUCCUGCAGCCUUAGCAGCAGCUAGCUCCUCCUAUAGGUUUCAUAAGAAAAGAAAGAUUGUUAAUAAAGAAGUAGACAAGUGCAAGACACGCCAACAAAACAAAGAACUAUUUGCUGUCUGAGGCAAAACCUAUAGUGUACAAGAGAUUAGAAUUGGUAUAGCGUAAUAAUUGAUGAACAUAGCUAUGCUCUGAAGGCUUAGCGGUGUACAAAACUCCACCAAAUUGUUCUGACAGUAGUCUAUACCACAUUAUUCUGACAUUCUUAAUACACACACAAAAAAAAUCACAUUUAACAGCUUCCAUCCACAAUACCAAAGCAUACAAAAGCAACCACCUAAUCAUUUCACAAUCACAACAUAUAGCUAUUAACAAAAUAUCACUAUCAAGCAGAAAAAAACAGAUAGAUAGCCAACAUACCUUCGACACAGGUUUCCUCUUCCUGUCGAGCUUCUCCUUCUUGGACUUCACGCGCUCUGCUUCAGCCAGAAGGGCCAUCCUCCUAGCAGUCUUAGCAUAUGGAUUCAAUUUCAGCAUCACGUUCAAGUUCUUCAGUGGGUUCUUCUUCAAAGGUGCCCUCUUAACCUCCUUCUUGAUUGGAUUCACAACGCUCUGAACCUCGUCAGAGUUGAUGAUCCUGGCCAAAUCAGCAUUGACCAUCUUGGUCCUAGGCAGCACAUAACCCUUCUUCUUCUCGGAAGACUUGUCAAAAGUCCCAUAUAUUGAAUCAAGCUUCUCGAUAGCUGAUUUUGUCCAGAUCACAAACCUUCCAAGAUGACCGCCGGGAGCCAGCCUCAACAAGUUCAGCCUCUCAACG
Molecule: long non-coding RNA, 8905 nt
Filed under: Populus trichocarpa (black cottonwood)
Lineage: Eukaryota; Viridiplantae; Streptophyta; Magnoliopsida; Malpighiales; Salicaceae
Description: long non-coding RNA (PTRI_LNC004668)
Source: RNAcentral